GGGACUUACUGUCAGGCAUUUUGUAUAAGCUUCAAAUAUGGUGAAGCGUUUCUACAGAGCACCAAUAAUGCUCCGCUAUAAAAUGACUCGAAUCUACA
RNAcentral lists this non-coding RNA (98 nucleotides) under Vibrio maritimus. Its description in RNAcentral is "Guanine sequence". It matches the Rfam family "Purine riboswitch aptamer". From Rfam's summary of the family: Riboswitches are metabolite binding domains within certain messenger RNAs that serve as precision sensors for their corresponding targets. Allosteric rearrangement of mRNA structure is mediated by ligand binding, and this results in modulation of gene expression. A class of riboswitches that selectively recognises guanine and becomes saturated at concentrations as low as 5 nM. Lineage: Bacteria; Pseudomonadati; Pseudomonadota; Gammaproteobacteria; Vibrionales; Vibrionaceae. The record is from Rfam by way of RNAcentral.